Molecule: transfer RNA, 69 nt
Filed under: Marmota marmota marmota (Alpine marmot)
Lineage: Eukaryota; Metazoa; Chordata; Mammalia; Rodentia; Sciuridae
Also listed under: 2 other names
Rfam family: tRNA
About the family: Transfer RNA (tRNA) molecules are approximately 80 nucleotides in length. Their secondary structure includes four short double-helical elements and three loops (D, anti-codon, and T loops).
Source: Rfam by way of RNAcentral
GGGGAUAUGGCCCAGUGGUAGAGCAUUUGUCUGGCAUGCAAGAGGCCCUGGGUUCAAAUUCCAGCACCA